UACGUAGGUGGCAAGCGUUGUCCGGAUUUACUGGGCGUAAAGGAUGCGUAGGCGGUCAUUUAAGUCAGAUGUGAAAUACCCGAGCUUAACUUGGGUGCUGCAUUUGAAACUGGGUGUCUAGAGUGCAGGAGAGGUAAGUGGAAUUCCUAGUGUAGCGGUGAAAUGCGUAGAGAUUAGGAAGAACACCAGUGGCGAAGGCGACUUACUGGACUGUAACUGACGCUGAGGCGCGAAAGCGUGGGGAGCAAACAGG
This 253-nucleotide ribosomal RNA is filed under the name uncultured bacterium. Its description in RNAcentral is "partial 16S ribosomal RNA". It matches the Rfam family "Bacterial small subunit ribosomal RNA", at positions 524 to 776 of the family's 1533-position model. The record is from RNAcentral.